AGGGAAUCCCAAGAAUACUGGAGUGGGUAGCCUAUCCCUUCUCCAGUGGAUCGUCCCAACCCAGGAAUCGAACUGGGGUCUCUUACAUUGCAGGAGAAUUCUUUACCAGCUGAGUUACCAGAGAAGCCAUAGAAAAUUGAAAGAAACUAUCUGUGGCACACUCCUGAGAGCCACUUAUCAUCACAGGAAAGGUCACCAAAUUUGAUGCCCUGUCUCUUCGUAAAUGAAAGCUGCAUAACCCAUCUUCUAGUUUGUUCAGUUACUAUUUCAAAAGGAAGAUCGUGGUCGUACCUCAUAUUAUUAGUAUGAAGUUCUGUGAAAAUCCUAGUCUUCAAAUAUCCUUUUCCGUGUAUAUUUAAUGAUAUCAAUGGUAUUCUGUGAACAGUAUGCACUUCUAGCUUGUGUUUCUUUGCUGGGAUAACCUGAGUGAUGCUGUGAAGGCGUUUCAUGUGUGACCCUAUCUCUGUCACCCCAUUCUGGAAUCUCUUCCGGUUUUAGUGACUGUGUUUCUGCAGUGUUCCUAUAAAACACAGUUUCUGUUACAGAUUUAAUUGUUGAGACUGUAUCUUCUUUAAUAACUUCCAUGUAUCCUACAAAGUGAGCUUCCCAGAUGUCACUAGUGGUAGAGAACCUGCCUGCCAAUGCCGGAGAUAUAAGAGAUGUGGGUUCAAUCCCUGGGUGGGGAAGAUCCACUGGAGGAGGUCAUAGCAACCCGCUCUGGUAUUCUUGUCUGGAGAAUACCAUGGACGGAUGGGCCUCGCGGGCUACAGUCCAUGGGGUGCAAAAGAGCUGGACAUGACUUAGUGACUAAGCACACACACACGGCUGAAUCUAGCCUGUCUUCUGUUUUUGUCAAUAAAGCUUUAUUGAAACACA
This is a long non-coding RNA of Bubalus bubalis (water buffalo), 876 nucleotides long. RefSeq lists it as uncharacterized. The record is from RefSeq and is a predicted model, not a curated record. The transcript is spliced from 2 exons. NCBI's taxonomy places the organism in Eukaryota, Metazoa, Chordata, Mammalia, Artiodactyla, Bovidae.